Molecule: long non-coding RNA, 1191 nt
Filed under: Oncorhynchus mykiss (rainbow trout)
Lineage: Eukaryota; Metazoa; Chordata; Actinopteri; Salmoniformes; Salmonidae
Description: lncRNA (ENSOMYG00000068114.1)
Source: RNAcentral
AUGUAUUGGAGGAGGCACACAGGAAGUGUGGCGAAGCCAGGUAGGAGACCUGCGCCAACUUCCUGUGCUUACCGGAGGGCGAGAGAUACCGGGCAGGCACCGUGUUAUGCUUACGAGCGCACAGUGUCCCCAGUGCGGGUGCAUAGCCCGGUGCGGUACAUACCAGCUCCUCGUAUCGGCAGGGCUAGAGUGGGCAUCGAGCCAGAUGCCAUGAAGCCGGCUCUACGCAUCUGGUCUCCAGUGCGUCUCCUUGGGCCGGCGUACAUGGCACCAGCCUUACACAUGGUGUCCCCGGUUCGCCAGCACAGCCCAGUGCGGGCUAUUCCACCUCGCCGCACUGGCAGGGCGACCGGGAGCAUUCAACCAGGUAAGGUUGGGCAGGCUCGGUGCUCAAGAGCUCCAGUGCACCUGCACAGUCCGGUCUAUCCAGUACCACCGCCACGCACCAGUCCUCCGGUGGCAGCCCCCCGCACCAGGCUGUCUCUCCGUCUCAGCCCUACAGGUGCUCCCGCCUGUCCAGCGCUGUCAGAGCCUUCAUCCUCUCCAGCGCUGCCAGAGUCUCCCGUCUGUCCAGAGCUGCUAGAGUCUCCCGUCUGUCCAGAGCCGCUAGAGUCUCCCUUCUGCCCAGAGCCGCUAGAGUCUCCCGUCUGUCCAGAGCCGCUAGAGUCUCCCGUCUGUCCAGAGCCGCUAGAGUCUCCCGUCUGUCCAGAGCCGCUAGAGUCUCCCGCCGGUCCAAAGCCGCUAGAGUCUCCCGCCGGUCCAGAGCCGCUAGAGUCUCCCGCCUCUCCAGAGCCGCUGGAGUCUCCCGCCUGUCUGCAAGGACCCGCCAGAGCCGCCAGUCUGCAAGGAGCCGCCAGAGCCACCAGUCUGCAAGAAGCCGCCAGAGCCGCCAGUCUGCCAGGAUCCGCCAGAGCCGCCAGUCAGCCAGGAUCCGCCAGAGCCGCCAGUCAGCCAGGAUCCGCCAGAGCCGCCAUUCAGCCAGGAUCCGCCAGAGCUGUCAGUCAGCCAGGAGCCGCCAGAGCCGUCAGUCAGCCAGAAGCCGCCAGAGCCGUCAACCAGCCUGAGCUACCCCUCGGUCCUGAGCUACCCCUCGGUCAUGAGCUACCCCUCGUUCAUGAGCUACCUCUCAGUCAUGAGCUGCCCCUCAGUCCGGAGCUGUCCCUCAGUCCGGGGGAGUUUCCUCAGUCAUGA